This 440-nucleotide ribosomal RNA is filed under the name uncultured bacterium. RNAcentral's name for it is "partial 16S ribosomal RNA". It matches the Rfam family "Bacterial small subunit ribosomal RNA", at positions 338 to 795 of the family's 1533-position model. The record is from RNAcentral.
CCUACGGGUGGCAGCAGUGGGGAAUAUUGCACAAUGGGGGAAACCCUGAUGCAGCGACGCCGCGUGAGUGAAGAAGUAUUUCGGUAUGUAAAGCUCUAUCAGCAGGGAAGAUAAGUACGGUACCUGAGGAAGAAGCCCCGGCUAACGACGGGCCAGCAGCCGCGGGAAUACGUAGGGGGCAAGCGUGAGCCGGAUUUACGGGGUGUAAAGGGAGCGUAGACGGCAUGGCAAGUCUGUAGUGCAAGCCCGGGGCUCCACCGCGGGACUGAUUUGGAAACUGUUACGCUGGAGUGCAUGAGUGCUAAGUGGCAUUCCUAGUGUAGCGGUGAAAUGCGUAUAUAUUAGGAGGAACACCCGUGGCGAAGGCGGCUUACUGGACUGUAACUGACGUUGUGGCUCGAACGCGUGGGGAGCAAACAGGAUUAGAUACCCGGGUAGUC